CUACGGGAUGCUCCAGUGGGGAAUAUUGCACAAUGGAGGAAACUCUGAUGCAGCAACGCCGCGUGGAGGAUGACGCAUUUCGGUGUGUAAACUCCUUUUAUAUGGGAAGAUAAUGACGGUACCAUAUGAAUAAGCACCGGCUAACUCCGUGCCAGCAGCCGCGGUAAUACGGAGGGUGCAAGCGUUACUCGGAAUCACUGGGCGUAAAGCGCGCGCAGGCGGCUAGAUAAGUUGGAAGUGAAAUCCUAUGGCUCAACCAUAGAACUGCUUCCAAAACUGUUUAGCUAGAGUCUGGGAGGGGAAGAUGGAAUUAGUAGUGUAGGGGUAAAAUCCGUAGAGAUUACUAGGAAUACCAAAAGCGAAGGCGAUCUUCUGGAACAGUACUGACGCUGAGGCGCGAAAGCGUGGGGAGCAAACAGGAUUAGAUACCCGGGUAGUC
RNAcentral lists this ribosomal RNA (439 nucleotides) under uncultured bacterium. RNAcentral's name for it is "partial 16S ribosomal RNA". It matches the Rfam family "Bacterial small subunit ribosomal RNA", at positions 339 to 795 of the family's 1533-position model. The record is from RNAcentral.